Clarias gariepinus (North African catfish) is the source of this 661-nucleotide long non-coding RNA. RefSeq lists it as uncharacterized. The transcript has 4 exons. The record is from RefSeq and is a predicted model, not a curated record. NCBI's taxonomy places the organism in Eukaryota, Metazoa, Chordata, Actinopteri, Siluriformes, Clariidae.
AGAGGCUAUGGAAGAAGGCAAGAGCCUGAAAGAAAUGUUAAGCCAAACAACAGUGCGAGUACUGUAUCAGGAACGGCAGGAUUCUCAAAAGCCCGCUUUCCAUCUCCAAAGAGUGAAAAAAAAGCAUACAACUCACAAGGUGGAGUAUGUUUAGAUGAUGAUGGUGAUGACUAUGCCAACGUGGGUGACCUUAAUGUUUAUGGAAAUAUCUGAUGACAAAAAUAUUGUUAUUAUUUUUCAAAUGGAAUGUUUGAGUGUAAAGUGUCUUUACAAGAGAAACGUUGACAGAGACGUUGUUUUCCAUUGUAAUGAGAAUUCUGUUCAUGCUUUGUACUGUAUGUGCAAUUUAUUAAAUGAAAAAGCUGAUCAGUCUUUAUUUGUUGGCAAUGAUACCAAGAUUUUUGCAUAUUAGAAACUUCUCCUAAACAACAAGAACUUUAUCACAGAUUAUUCUGUUUUUGACUUUUUUAGCAGGUUGAGUGUUAGUUCCUUUUACUGAGUAGUGAUUAACCAAAUUACAUUUACACCCACACAACUAUUCUAUCCAAGCAUCAACUUCUGUACAGUACAUCACAGAAAUAUGCUUAUGAUAAUGAGGAGAAUUAAUUUACGAAUAGACUUAUGGACAACAAACAAACACAAACAAAUUAGUGACUUUACC